GAUGAACGCUGGCGGCGUGCCUAAUACAUGCAAGUCGAGCGAACGGACGAGAAGCUUGCUUCUCUGAUGUUAGCGGCGGACGGGUGAGUAACACGUGGAUAACCUACCUAUAAGACUGGGAUAACUUCGGGAAACCGUAGCUAAUACCGGAUAAUAUUUUGAACCGCAUGGUUCAAAAGUGAAAGACGGUCUUGCUGUCACUUAUAGAUGGAUCCGCGCUGCAUUAGCUAGUUGGUAAGGUAACGGCUUACCAAGGCAACGAUGCAUAGCCGACCUGAGAGGGUGAUCGGCCACACUGGAACUGAGACACGGUCCAGACUCCUACGGGAGGCAGCAGUAGGGAAUCUUCCGCAAUGGGCGAAAGCCUGACGGAGCAACGCCGCGUGAGUGAUGAAGGUCUUCGGAUCGUAAAACUCUGUUAUUAGGGAAGAACAUAUGUGUAAGUAACUGUGCACAUCUUGACGGUACCCAAUCAGAAAGCCACGGCUAACUACGU
Molecule: ribosomal RNA, 496 nt
Filed under: uncultured bacterium
Lineage: Bacteria
Description: partial 16S ribosomal RNA
Rfam family: Bacterial small subunit ribosomal RNA
Source: RNAcentral